AGAGUUUGAUCCUGGCUCAGGAUGAACGCUGGCGGUAUGCCUAACACAUGCAAGUCGAACGAUGUCUUCGGACAUAGUGGCGGACGGGUGAGUAACGCGUGAGAAUCUGCCUCUAGGAUGGGGAUAACGGUUGGAAACGACCGCUAACACCCAAUAUGCCGUAAGGUGAAAAAUUUAUUGCCUGGAGAGGAGCUCGCGUCUGAUUAGCUAGUUGGUGGGGUAAGAGCUCACCAAGGCUUCGAUCAGUAGCUGGUCUGAGAGGAUGAGCAGCCACACUGGGACUGAGACACGGCCCAGACUCCUACGGGAGGCAGCAGUGGGGAAUUUUCCGCAAUGGGCGAAAGCCUGACGGAGCAAUACCGCGUGAGGGAGGAAUGCCUUUGGGUUGUAAACCUCUUUUCUCAGGGAAGAAGAUCUGACGGUACCUGAGGAAUAAGUAUCGGCUAACUCCGUGCCAGCAGCCGCGGUAAUACGGAGGAUGCAAGCGUUAUCCGGAAUCAUUGGGCGUAAAGCGUCCGCAGGUGGUUUCCAAAGUCUGCUGUUAAAGACUGGAGCUCAACUCCGGAACGGCGGUGGAAACUUGGAAACUAGAGUUCGGUAGGGGUAGCAGGAAUUCCCAGUGUAGCGGUGAAAUGCGUAGAUAUUGGGAAGAACAUCGGUGGCGAAGGCGUGCUACUGGACCGUAACUGACACUCAGGGACGAAAGCUAGGGGAGCGAAAGGGAUUAGAUACCCCUGUAGUCCUAGCUGUAAACGAUGGAAACUAGGUGUGGCUUGUAUCGACCCGAGCCGUGCCGUAGCUNACGCGUUAAGUUUCCCGCCUGGGGAGU
Molecule: ribosomal RNA, 829 nt
Filed under: uncultured marine microorganism
Description: bacterial SSU rRNA
Rfam family: Bacterial small subunit ribosomal RNA
Source: RNAcentral